This 614-nucleotide ribosomal RNA is filed under the name uncultured marine archaeon. RNAcentral describes it as "bacterial SSU rRNA". It matches the Rfam family "Archaeal small subunit ribosomal RNA", at positions 23 to 644 of the family's 1478-position model. The record is from RNAcentral.
CUGACUGCUAUCGGAUUGAUACUAAGCCAUGCGAGUCAUUGUAGUAAUACAAGGCAGACGGCUCAGUAACGCGUAGUCAACCUAACCUAUGGACGGGAAUAACCUCGGGAAACUGAGUAUAAUGCCCGAUAGAACAUUAUGCCUGGAAUGGCUUAUGUUCCAAAUGAUUUAUCGCCGUAGGAUGGGACUGCGGCCUAUCAGUUUGUUGGUGAGGUAAUGGCCCACCAAGACUAUUACAGGUACGGGCUCUGAGAGGAGUAGCCCGGAGAUGGGUACUGAGACACGGACCCAGGCCCUAUGGGGCGCAGCAGGCGAGAAAACUUUGCAAUGUGCGAAAGCACGACAAGGUUAAUCCGAGUGGUUUCUGCUAAAGGAACCUUUUGUCGGUCCUAGAAACACUGAUGAAUAAGGGGUGGGCAAGUUCUGGUGUCAGCCGCCGCGGUAAAACCAGCACCUCAAGUGGUCAGGAUGAUUAUUGGGCCUAAAGCAUCCGUAGCCGGCUCUAUUAGUUUUCGGUUAAAUCUGUACGCUUAACGUACAGGCUGCCGGGAAUACUGUAGAGCUAGGGAGUGGGAGAGGUAGACGGUACUCGUAGGAAGGGGUAAAAUCCUUUG